RNAcentral lists this ribosomal RNA (486 nucleotides) under uncultured bacterium. RNAcentral's name for it is "partial 16S ribosomal RNA". It matches the Rfam family "Bacterial small subunit ribosomal RNA", at positions 30 to 507 of the family's 1533-position model. The record is from RNAcentral.
AUUGAACGCUGGCGGCAUGCCUUACACAUGCAAGUCGAACGGCAGCACGGGUGCUUGCACCUGGUGGCGAGUGGCGAACGGGUGAGUAAUACAUCGGAACAUGUCCUGUAGUGGGGGAUAGCCCGGCGAAAGCCGGAUUAAUACCGCAUACGAUCUACGGAUGAAAGCGGGGGACCUUCGGGCCUCGCGCUAUAGGGUUGGCCGAUGGCUGAUUAGCUAGUUGGUGGGGUAAAGGCCUACCAAGGCGACGAUCAGUAGCUGGUCUGAGAGGACGACCAGCCACACUGGGAAUGAGACACGGCCCAGACUCCUACGGGAGGCAGCAGUGGGGAAUUUUGGACAAUGGGCGAAAGCCUGAUCCAGCAAUGCCGCGUGUGUGAAGAAGGCCUUCGGGUUGUAAAGCACUUUUGUCCGGAAAGAAAUCCUUGGCUCUAAUACAGUCGGGGGAUGACGGUACCGGAAGAAUAAGCACCGGCUAACUACGUG